UUGCCCCUGCUUGUCACACUGUCGCCCGGCCAUUGUUUUGCUGCACGCCGUUGCAUUACGCUAGUGCUCGUCUACACAGCUCAUCCGUGGACGCCGGUCGACUGCCUGCAGGUGCGCAUCGGCUAUGCUAUCCGCGCGGUGUGGCGUCGCAUUGAGUCUGUGUGGUGCUAUCGCCUUGGCCGGGCGCCCGGAGCGUGAGGAAUGCGCGUCAGCAAAACAUCGACACAACCUGCCAGCUACCGUCGGUACAGUAACAGCGCGCGAACGACGCACCAAUGCCUUGUCCCUUCUUGCUACGCAUUUAUGUGGGCACGGGUGGGAGCCACACACAUCGGGACUACGCUUUCCUGCCCCUUGCCAUGUUCCAUCACGAGGAGCCACGUGGGGCGGGCCCUUGGGCGGGACCUUGCUUGGGUGGGACUAGCGACCAGCGAUCCGGAUGGAUACCGUACCGUACCCAGACCGUGUUUUCCUGGACUGAAUUCUGGCAGCUGGCAGCGGUCGCGAAAGCAAUAACCACUGCUGCAGAGGCGCCUUGACGAAUGUGCAGCCACGCACCCUGACAGAGAACUGAUUGAACACCACCAACACACCAUCUGUCCACGCCUCUCGCCCCUCAUGCUUUAGGCCCCAACGGCCCGAUUUCGCAGUCCACACCUGCACCCUGCCGCCGUCUUUAUGUUUCGUGCAAACCUACAUCGCUUGCAAAAUCGACGCCGCAGCAAGUGCGGGCCUAAUGACACGCGGGCCACAAACAUUGUAGUUACCACCACGCACACCUCACACCACAACAAAAUCACGUCCUCACGUUCCCCACCGUGCCACCGCCCCCCUCCUGCUGCUUCUACACACACACCUGCACUGCCACUCGCACACACCCCAACAGCUGUUUACACCAUCACUCCCACUGCACACCUACUCCCCGCUGUCGCCCGGCAACUGCUUUGCUGCAUUCUGUCUGCAUUUUCUCUGCGGUUGCCUCUGGUGCUCAUCCGUGGACGCUGGUCAUCUUUCCUGCAGGUGCGCCGCGGCUCUGCAUCGCGAGUGUGGCGUUGCGGUCUGUCUGUGUGGUGCUAUCGCCUGGCCGGGCGCCCGGAGCGUGAGGAAUGCGCAUCAGCAAACAUCCAGCCAGCCAGCA
RNAcentral lists this long non-coding RNA (1138 nucleotides) under Chlamydomonas reinhardtii. Its description in RNAcentral is "long non-coding RNA (CREI_LNC001160)". The record is from RNAcentral. Lineage: Eukaryota; Viridiplantae; Chlorophyta; Chlorophyceae; Chlamydomonadales; Chlamydomonadaceae.